Molecule: ribosomal RNA, 497 nt
Filed under: uncultured bacterium
Lineage: Bacteria
Description: partial 16S ribosomal RNA
Rfam family: Bacterial small subunit ribosomal RNA
Source: RNAcentral
GAUGAACGCUGGCGGCGUGCCUAAUACAUGCAAGUCGAACGAACAGAUAAGGAGCUUGCUCCUUCGACGUUAGCGGCGGACGGGUGAGUAACACGUGGAUAACCUACCUAUAAGACUGGGAUAACUUCGGGAAACCGGAGCUAAUACCGGAUAACAUAUUGAACCGCAUGGUUCAAUAGUGAAAGGCGGCUUUGCUGCCACUUAUAGAUGGAUCCGCGCCGUAUUAGCUAGUUGGUAAGGUAACGGCUUACCAAGGCAACGAUACGUAGCCGACCUGAGAGGGUGAUCGGCCACACUGGAACUGAGACACGGUCCAGACUCCUACGGGAGGCAGCAGUAGGGAAUCUUCCGCAAUGGGCGAAAGCCUGACGGAGCAACGCCGCGUGAGUGAUGAAGGUCUUCGGAUCGUAAAACUCUGUUAUCAGGGAAGAACAAAUGUGUAAGUAACUGUGCACAUCUUGACGGUACCUGAUCAGAAAGCCACGGCUAACUACGUG